AUAACUUUGAUAGAACAACUGCUUAGUCUCAUCAUCCCAACGAGCCCAUAUAUCCCUCAAUUCCUGGAACUCGUUUUGGGUCACAUUGAUGCGAGUGAAGUCCAACAACCCCGAUGUAUACCCUCUAGCUAGGCUAUCCCCUUUCUCAAGUUGCAUCUUCUCUGGCCACAUACGAAUAGCACAUUAUCCUCUACUUUAUUAAGGAAUUCGCUGUCCAUAACAAGCUUUCUAAUUUAGCAACCGAACAGAAAUCAACACCUCUUUGAUAUGAAAUGACAUGCAAACAUAACCACAACAAAACACAACAAGUUAGUAUCAAAAAAUAAAAAUCAAAGCAAAUAGAAAAUAAUCAAACACCUAACUGGGUAAUCGCUAGGGUUAAACAUAGCUCCAUCUAGGGCAGGUUCCUAAAGCUCACUAUAUGUCGCUCGGUUCUAAGAAGAGGGUACCUGAACCAACAAAUUCCUCAACCCUCACCCAUUAUAGGCUCAUAUGGAUCGAGUUCAGUUCAAGGGAAUACAUUUCCCUAUGGCCAUGCGGAAGUGAAAACCUUACGAAGACAUAGGUACGGAUGUAUCCCGGAAGCAGUCCACUAGCCUGUGCAGAGGUGAAAACCUCACGAAGGCAUAGUUUCUCACUCCCACUUAAAAGUGUGACCACAACGGUCAUGCAAUGCAAUGCGAAGGGGCAAUAAAAACUCAAAACACAAAGACAUAAAUAAGAUGAUGAAAACCAUAACACUUAUUAAAAAGAACAUAUGUUAAAACCAAUGUUUUUAAUUUUUAACAAAAGGACAGAAAAUAAUUAAUUUUACGGCUUGACUCUCUUAUUGGUCCCCAAUGGAGUCGCCAAGCUGUCAAAACCUUCUUUAAUUUUGAAAAAAUGGGAAUUGACUUUUUAAAACGAAGUAUGGAGUCGCCACCAAUCCUUUUUGUUUAGGUGUAAUUGGAUCACCUUGAGAUUGAUCAUUUUAAUCAAACAUUUGAUUUAUUAAAACAAUAAUUUUAGGUCUACGAAAAUUGAGAAAAAAGGGUUCGGGAGUCGGUUACCCACGAGGAAGGAUUAGCACCCUUAUAACGCCUAAAAUUGGUACCAAUUGAUUAUUUAAUGUCCUAUCGUUGAAAAUUUGAAGAAAAAAAAGUUAAAAUAGGAUUCCUUUAAAAAUGUGUGAACAACUCGAAUUAGAUUUUAAGAUUCACUCGUUCCAAAGAAAUAAAAUACCACAUCCAGCACGUUAGGACACAAUACUUUAAGCCUCCAAAAACUGAGAUCACCUAAUGAUUUCCAAAACACGCAACGAAAUCUUAAAAAGGGUAUUUUGUUAUUUGACCAAACGAAAAAUCGAAACCCAACACGUUGGGGCACGAUUUCUCGAAUUUCCGAACACGAAACAUUGCCUUGUAUUGAGGAGUUUCUAAAUAAGCAAUUACAAAAUCGACUCAAAAUAUAUUUGUUUGGUUUAUUUUAGGGUAAAAGCAAUCAAUGUUGGGCAAAAAUUCAGGAUUCAAAAUCAUGAUGCAACAACAAUAAAAAAAUAAAUAAAAUGACUAUAAGCAUGAAACAAUAACACGUGCAUUAUGAAACCCAAAACAACACAUAAUAUACAAAAUAAUCUGAAAACUAAGAGUCAAUGUGAUAUAAACAAUUCAAAGACUAUCGAAUAUAUGAAAAUUUAUAAACGGACGACACAUGCUAAGGUUUGAAAUAGUUUACAUAUUAAGGAAUAAGAACAUAAUAUAUAAAUGACAACUAAAAUAUUAUGAAUGAAAAAGUUGGAAGUAAAUAAUGUGCAAAAUAUUUCAAAAAAGAACAAAACAUGGCUAUUUAAAGUGGAUAAUAUACAUGUAAAAUAAAUAAUAAUAAUAAUAAUAAAUAAUAAUAUAUAAUUUGGCCAUAGUACACAAAAGAAUUUAUAAUAAAAGAGAAAAUAAUUAUAUUUUGAAAGAACAAACUAUAUACAUAAUAGAUUUGAAAAGAAAAUAUAUAUUAAAUAGAUUUAAAAGAAAUUAUAUAAAUAAAAUAAAAUAGAAUUAAUAAUGUAUAUAAAAUAAAACUAAUUUCAUCAUAUAUAUAAUAAUGUAUAAAAAUAUUUUAAUUAAAUAUUAUACAAGAAUUUAGAAUAAUACUAUAUAAAAUAAAACUUUAAAAUAACACUUUACAAUUCAAACAAAUAUAAAAAAAAAGUAAAAUUAUUAAAGUAACCUAAUAUGUAUGUUUAAAUAAAUUUUUAAAAAGUUGAAUGCUAAAUAAAUUAAAGAAAUAAUGAAUUAUACAUACUGAAAUGGAAAUAAACUCAAUUGAAAUAAAUUUAAACUAAAAGGGACAAUUAAUAAAUAAAAUAAGCUGUUGAAACCAAAAUCAGGACCCAAAUGUAACGCGCGCAAACUCGCAAGGACGGAAAAAACAAAUAAACCAUGCCCCAGAACAAUUCAUUUCCGCGCGGACUGAAAUGAGUAGACGCACAAAUUCUUGGGACAAUUUAAAAAAAAAGGAAAAUAUAAACAGGUUUUAAUUACAAGUCAGUGCAAAAAGGGAGGGACCAAACGCGCAACUUAACCAUUUAAAGAGAAUAUGCGCGUAAACCAAGUCAAAACGCGUUCUGUUUCUUCCCCCCAAAAAAGAAAUGCUAUUUUAUUUUAUUACUUAAAUAAAAAAACUGUUUUAAAAUCAUUUGAUUUUUGCGUUUAGAAAAAAAACCUAAUGCUCCCAAAUCUCUUUACCUUUUCUCUCCAGCCGAAAAGCUAUGUUCAAGCUUUCAACCGCCCGCUUGUACCGGCGAAGUAAGGCCCUCCAAUGGUGCGAGCACGACGCGCGAUAAGUUUAUUCUCCUCUCUCUGAUCCUUCGCAUGUGUUGUGGAUCCAAAUGAAAAAAAGAAAAAAGAGGAAAAAUAGAAUAAAAUUGCAGUAAAUAAUCACCUUAGAAGUAUUCUUGGUUGCUUUUCUACUAAUUUUCAUAUGUAUUUUGUAUUAUCACUCGUCCGUCAAAAAAAACAAAUGAAAAUUCGUGGCCUUUUAUAGCCAUUUUUACAUCUGUUUCUUCUCCACUAGUUGCAGGUAUGGCGAACGUGGUUCGAAGUGCAAGGAUGUGGGGCGGGCAAUACGCGAGUCAAGGGGUCGUGUGUGGGGCGUGCGUUGGUGGCUGCUGGUGGCUGCGGCGCAAGGCAAAUAGAACCCUAGGGCUUGCUAUUUCUGAAAACGAUUUGGGCCAUUGGGCUUGUGUAAUCAAGUAUUGGGCCAUUGCAAAGUUUUGGGCCUAGUGUAACUAUAUUUGGGAUUGUUUUUUUUGUUUUAUUUUUUCUGUAUAUGUAUGGGCUCGGGCUAAAAAUUGAGUCUACAACAGUGAUAUAAAAGUUUCUCAAAGUUUGUUUUACAUUUAAGGGCACACAUGACAUUUUAUAAAAAUUGUUCUAACACUUUAAUCAAACUAAGAAAACUACAUAAAUUUAAGAUGUCUCCCAAACAUUAAGCUAAUUAUUCCUUAUGUUUUAAGAAGCCAUUUUAAUACUCAUAUAAUAAAUAAGGUUUUCUUAUAUUUUUACACGCGAUAUUAAGAUUUUAUAUAAGAGAAAGAGAACAAACAUUUAGUUAACGAUAACUAAGUAAGAUAAAUUGAAAAAUCGAAAAACGACCUAAAUUAAAGUGUUUGAACUAUUUAUGAAAUACAAAUUUAAAGUGGUUACUUGAAAUCGAACUAAAUUUUAUUUUUAUUUAAUAUAUAAAUUAUUUUAAUUUUUUAUGGUAUAAAAUAAAUAUUUUAUAUUUAAAAUAGUAAAAUAUUUAAACGAAAAAUUAUUUUGUUUUAUAAAUACUAAUGAAAAAAAUUUAGAAAUUUUGUCAAAUCAUAUUCAAAAAUUAUAAAACAAAGUUUAUUUUGUUAAAAUAAAUUUAAAAAUAGAAAAUCAAACAUUAAUAUAAAAAUCGAGAACCGAACCGCACAUCGAAUUAUGAAAAAUUAAAAAAUCUAAAAAAAUCCCAUCAAACAUAUCACCCUAGACUGAAUUAUAAUUUUCUUAAUUUUACUAGAAAAAGAAAAGGCAAAUAAGAGAGCAGAAUGGUCUAAUCUAAUUCUAAAAAAAAAAAAAAAAUCAGAUUGCAUGCAAAUUGUCCGUGAAAAAAUAUGUGACAAAUCAUACUACACCCACCAGCACAACCCAAUUCCUGCCGUGGUCCGGUAUGUAGAGCCCAUCCCCAAGCACCAGCUGCAUUGGAGAAUUGGGAUGUGUUUAUCACCCCCAACAAAAUGGUACAUGAAAUGAUGAUCUACCUUUCUUUGGGCUUUUAUGAAUCCAGACCUUAAGGGCCAUUGGAUUACACUACAGAAAAAAAAGGGGUCUUAUACAAGUCUACUGCUUCAUGCACAAUUGCAGUCCAUUAUUCAUAGUUUUGAAUCUGUUGCUGGUAGCAGAAACAAGGCAAAUUGUGGGAAACUAACAGGCCCUAAUUUUUUUUAAUCCAAAUAUGUAUAUAUUACAAAGCCUAGAUGAACAACAAUGGCAACAUCAACAUGGGCUCGUCAUGAAACAAGCCUGAAGAAAUAAACAAAAGCAUAGUAGUUUUUAUACCCCACUGGUGAAGAAUGACAAACACAGUUUCCAAAUUCAAAUGCAUCAUCUAAACAAAUAUGCCCCUUUCUUAGUCUUAUCUGCAUGGAUUUGCUUGCUGGAAAUGAAAAAGCAAAAAUGAAAGAAAAAGAAAAAAGGUGAAAACAACCUUCAAGGUUUAAGAGAUGAUAUGUAAUUUUUCACUUUUUUCAACGCAUUGCAGCAAAAGGGUUCCUUUUCCAUUGCAGAGGCUGAUAUGUUAUCUCUGUUUCCUCUAUUUUAGUCCAUGGUAAUUUGUGUUUAGCCACCUUUCGCUUCCUAGCUGCUACUCCCAGAUAGUCUCCAGCGUUCUGAAUUUGAAUGAAUUUACAGUAAAACAGUCAAAUUCUUGUUAAUGUUAAAUGCAGGCUAAAUUUGGAUGCUAAAGAUCAGAUUUUGGUACCUUGAGGCAGAGUCCUUCUUGGACAUCACAAAUGGGGUAAUCACUAGGGCAGCAGUAUUCAGUUCCGGUACAGCAAACAGCAUUUUCAUAUUCACAGCAGCCGUAUAUUAGGCAAUAAUCAUAGAAUUCAAAAAGGCAACAGCAUGUCUCAUCACUUGAACAAUAGGAAAAGUCUCCACAAUCACUUGGUGAAGGAGAUGGAGGUGGUGGUGGUGGUGGAGUUGAAGGAGGUGGCGGUGGAGGAACACUUGGCGAUGGAUAAGGGGAUGGUGAAGAGGAUUCUUUAGUUGGAUAAGAAGCCAUGGCAUUGACAGCACAAACACCAUAUGGUAAAUCAGUGUCUCUUUUUAGAUAGAAAUAUCCAUCUAUCCCCCAACUUGUUCCCCAUGAAUUCUUCACUAUCCAAUACUCUUCACUGCCUUCUGAACCAUAACCAACUAUUAAAACAGCAUGAUCAAUGUCAUCUGGAUCAUCCGAGCAGCUCCCAUCAUAA
Molecule: long non-coding RNA, 5476 nt
Filed under: Gossypium barbadense (sea-island cotton)
Lineage: Eukaryota; Viridiplantae; Streptophyta; Magnoliopsida; Malvales; Malvaceae
Description: long non-coding RNA (GBAR_LNC005554)
Source: RNAcentral